UGGCUUAAAUGUAGAGUGUCAUUUUUUUAGAGAUAGAAAUUCCCUUCGGGGCUUUCUGCAAGGUGCUGCAUGGUUGUCGUCAGCUCGUGCCGUGAGGUGUCGGGUUAAGUCCCAUAACGAGCGCAACCCUUAUCGUUAGUUGCCAUCUGGUAAUGCAGGGGACUCUAGCGAAACUGCCACCGUAAGGUGAGAGGAAGUGGGGAUGACGUCAAAUCAGCACGGCCCUUAUGUCCAGGGCUACACACGUGUUACAAUGGUCGGUACAGAGGGCAGCUACCUGGUGACAGGAUGCUAAUCUCGAAAACCGGUCUCAGUUCGGAUCGAAGUCUGCAACUCGACUUCGUGAAGCUGGAUUCGCUAGUAAUCGCGCAUCAGCUAUGGCGCGGUGAAUACGUUCCCGGGCCUU
RNAcentral lists this ribosomal RNA (406 nucleotides) under uncultured Sphingobacteriales bacterium. RNAcentral describes it as "bacterial SSU rRNA". It matches the Rfam family "Bacterial small subunit ribosomal RNA", at positions 977 to 1382 of the family's 1533-position model. Lineage: Bacteria; Pseudomonadati; Bacteroidota; Sphingobacteriia; Sphingobacteriales. The record is from RNAcentral.